GGGGUUGUGGCUCAGUGGUAGAGCGCUUGCCUAGCAUGUGUGAGUCCCUGGGUUCAAUCCCCAGCAACACAU
This 72-nucleotide transfer RNA is filed under the name Ictidomys tridecemlineatus (thirteen-lined ground squirrel). RNAcentral's name for it is "Spermophilus tridecemlineatus (thirteen-lined ground squirrel) tRNA". It matches the Rfam family "tRNA". Rfam says of the family: Transfer RNA (tRNA) molecules are approximately 80 nucleotides in length. Their secondary structure includes four short double-helical elements and three loops (D, anti-codon, and T loops). Further hydrogen bonds mediate the characteristic L-shaped molecular structure. tRNAs have two regions of fundamental functional importance: the anti-codon, which is responsible for specific mRNA codon recognition, and the 3' end, to which the tRNAs corresponding amino acid is attached (by aminoacyl-tRNA synthetases). tRNAs cope with the degeneracy of the genetic code in two manners: having more than one tRNA (with a specific anti-codon) for a particular amino acid; and 'wobble' base-pairing, i.e. permitting non-standard base-pairing at the 3rd anti-codon position. Lineage: Eukaryota; Metazoa; Chordata; Mammalia; Rodentia; Sciuridae. The record is from Rfam by way of RNAcentral.